This 18-nucleotide transfer RNA is filed under the name Prionurus microlepidotus (sixplate sawtail). RNAcentral's name for it is "partial tRNA-Pro". Lineage: Eukaryota; Metazoa; Chordata; Actinopteri; Acanthuriformes; Acanthuridae. The record is from RNAcentral.
UUCUCAAUUAAACUACUU